This 2122-nucleotide long non-coding RNA is filed under the name Brassica rapa (field mustard). RNAcentral describes it as "long non-coding RNA (BRAP_LNC000542)". The record is from RNAcentral. Lineage: Eukaryota; Viridiplantae; Streptophyta; Magnoliopsida; Brassicales; Brassicaceae.
UUUAUUUUACGUAUUAACAUAAUAAUUUCACAGGUUUGUACGAAAUUAUUCCAUUUCGUGACGAGAAUUCGAACCGGACUACAAAUUUUUUUUUAUUUGUUUACAUAAUUUGUUAGACAAAGAUAUUCAGAAUACAUAUCGGGUUUUCAGAUAUUGAUUUUUUGGAUUUUAAAAUUAGUCGGAUAUAAUAAAUUUUCUGGACGGAGUUCCAAUCGGAUUUUUACAGGUCCAUGCAGGUUCAUAAGAACCUAAUAUUAGACAAAUAACUCAUAUGUUUUAAAAAUUACAAAUAAUUUAUAAGUUGCUAAAAAAAACAAUUUAUAAAAAAGUAAAAACUAACAUCUGCGUGGAUCAAGCAAACAAAACAGAUUACACAACGCAGCGUGAAGUGCGGCAUUUAUACCAUCGAGAAUUCGAGAUAACUUGCGCACACAAUUGCAAUUAGGAUUACAAAAAAAAAAACUCGCUCUCUCUACGAAAAAAAAAGAAGAAGGUUUCUUUAACCUAGAUCUCGUUCGCCGGCAGCAGCAUCUGCUGUUUUCGUCGCUGCUGCCGGCCCCCACCCCUUUGUUUGAUUUGUUCUUUCCUUUUGUUGCUCCAUUUGUAUCUUCUUCCUGUCCGAUAUGCUUGAGCCCUGUUCUCAGUUUGGAAUGGUGUUUCGGUGAGGCUGGGUUAGAGGAAGUGGUGGCUGUGGCACGGAAUCGGGAGAUCUAUCUUUAGCUGCUCAGUUCCGGUGGUAUUUGGUUAGAUCUGGUUCACUUUUGGUGGUUCAAGGCGUUUGGGGACUGCGUCUCUGUUCUCUGGUGGCUUUCAGACGAAAUCGGUUCCUUUUGGACAGUUUUGCGAGCGAUAAAGUAGAUCUCGGAUGGGGUGGGAAUGGGUCUGUCGAUGGUUUCAGUUCAGGGUCGGAGUUUCAGGGAAAGUGGCUAGUUUCUGCUGUAGAUUCCGAUUCAGAUCUGGGCCUCUGGCUCAGUGUGGUGGAGAAAGCUGGCAGUGGUGUGCUGGUGUCUUUCUAUUUCGCCUGAUGGCUGCGGGGUUGGAGUUCUCUAUCUGGUGGUGGAGGCGCGUGAAGCUCUCUCUCGGUGCACUAGGAGAGCUUGUGGCGGCGCGUUAUAAUCUUCUUGUUUGUGGAUGUCACCUGUCUCCUUUGUGGUAUCUCGUAGACUGGAGGAUGCUCUGACUUCUUCGCUUGCUCGACAGUGUGGCGCUCUGAACCUCUCCUGUCCUUUCCGAAUAAGAGCAACAGCUGGUGUUAUGUAAACUUCCAGGAGUUCUUGACGUAGAACGACAUUUUUUUUUCAACUGGCGUCUUGGGGAGCAGCAAUUCUUUCUCAAGUGGAGGGUCUCGAUGGAUGAGUUGUCUUCUCGUCUGGCUGUGCGGAGUCGCUAUCCGUGCGGCACAGGCUUAGGCUAGAUCGGAUCAGCUGAGGCAUUCCGCUGCUCCUUUAUCCUCAGCCUCCAGUUUCGAUUGGGAUGGGUCGUCUUCUCCGAAUGCAUCCGUUUGAGUCUUCAUAAAGGGUCGAUGUUGUGUGCACUGAUUUUGCAGGAUAGUUGAGGUGUGCUCUCGAUGAAGCUGUAGGAGCGGAGUGGUUUUGAGGACUGACCAUCUCUGUAGCUCGCGGCGACUUAGAAGCCCACCAAUGCGAUUCCGACUCUUUGGUUCAUAGCUUUUCAAGACAAAGGGCGAGGUGAUGGCAAUCUCGUUUUGCUUCUUUCUAUGGUUUCCUCAUCAUCUGUUGCGUUUUACAUUUUUAGUUUUUUCACUGCUGUUUAGUUUUUAAAUGUUUCUGCUACUAGUUUCUUUGUAACUUCUGUCAAAAAGUUAAAAAUUGGUAUAAAAUUUAACAUUUACACAAAAAAAAAAAAAAAAAUUAGGAUUACAAAAAGUUGGGUUUAGAAUAAAAGCUGGGUUAAUAUAUUUUUGUCAUAUGCGAUCACUUUUUUUUUUCGAAUUCUCCCUAUAAUCAGAAUAACAAAAAUUAAUAUAUAAUUUAUAGGAGAGUUUUUUUUUCGGGUCAAAAAUUUAUAUAGAGAGUUAUUGUGGAGAAAAAGAUAAUGGACUAAGUUCAAAAAAAAAAAAGAUAAUGGACUAAAUUGGGUAACAAUUGCGUGCGUAGAGCCG